Hevea brasiliensis (rubber tree) is the source of this 551-nucleotide long non-coding RNA. RefSeq lists it as uncharacterized. The record is from RefSeq and is a predicted model, not a curated record. The transcript is spliced from 2 exons. Lineage: Eukaryota; Viridiplantae; Streptophyta; Magnoliopsida; Malpighiales; Euphorbiaceae.
AAAACUCUGAUAUAGGGUUUUUGGACUUGUGAGGGGUUUUAUCUAUUCUUCUACUCCAUAACUACCUUGUUUCAGAUACCAUCUCUCACUUAAUGUUCUCCUUCUUUAAGCUUAAGAUUCCUUUUCUUCUGUUUUGAUUGUAGAACAAGGAUUUUUUUGAUAUAUAUAAAUUUUUUAUGAUUGCAGAGUAACUAGAAGCAAUGGAGCAUGGUACUAUACAGAUCCAAGCAGAGCAACGUUCUCGUUCGUUGAUGAAGAUCACAUUCUUGCAAAUGCUGUCAGAUUCACCUUGAAUCAAGAGUGAUCCAGCAAGGGAGGUAUUGAAAGAUGGAUGUCAGAAUUUGAUGUUGAUAUGCCAGCAUGUUAGGAGCACUUUCGACAAGAUUGUUGGUGAUUAUAGAACAAACAAUACCAUAGAAAUGGAAACAGGUAGUGAUGGUUGAAAUGUGAUACAUCUUACCCAUGUGAUCUUGGCAUCCAAGUUCUGUAGGUGUAAUUGAACGCAGUUGCAUGUAUUUGUCUCCAUUCAAUCACAGUGAUUUAUUAUGCUC